This 463-nucleotide ribosomal RNA is filed under the name Undibacterium sp. Its description in RNAcentral is "bacterial SSU rRNA". It matches the Rfam family "Bacterial small subunit ribosomal RNA", at positions 394 to 848 of the family's 1533-position model. Lineage: Bacteria; Pseudomonadati; Pseudomonadota; Betaproteobacteria; Burkholderiales; Oxalobacteraceae. The record is from RNAcentral.
AUGCCGCGUGAGUGAUAGAAGGCCCUCGGGUCUGUAAAGCUCUUUUGUCAGGGAAGAAACGGUCUACUCUAAUACAGUGGGCUAAUGACGGUACCUGAAGAAUAAGCACCGGCUAACUACGUGCCAGCAGCCGCGGUAAUACGUAGGGUGCAAGCGUUAAUCGGAAUUACUGGGCGUAAAGCGUGCGCAGGCGGUUUUAUAAGUCUGAUGUGAAAUCCCCGGGCUCAACCUGGGAACUGCAUUGGAGACUGUAAGGCUAGAGUGUGUCAGAGGGGGGUAGAAUUCCACGUGUAGCAGUGAAAUGCGUAGAUAUGUGGAGGAAUACCGAUGGCGAAGGCAGCCCCCUGGGAUAACACUGACGCUCAUGCACGAAAGCGUGGGGAGCAAACAGGAUUAGAUACCCUGGUAGUCCACGCCCUAAACGAUGUCUACUAGUUGUCGGGUCUUAAUUGACUUGGUAACG